GACGAACGCUGGCGGCGGGCUUAACACAUGCAAGUCGAACGGUGAACCUCUUCGGAGGGGAUCAGUGGCGAACGGGUGAGUAACACGUGGGCAACCAGCCCCCGGCUCUGGGAUAACUCCAAGAAAUUGGGGCUAAUACCGGAUGUUCACCGCUUACCGCAUGGGUGGUGGUGGAGAGGGUUUCCGGCUGGGGAUGGGCCCGCGGCCUAGCAGCUGGUUGGUGGGGUAGGGGCGUACCAAGGCGACGACGGGUAGCCGGCCUGAGAGGGUGGCCGGCCACCAUGCGCCUGCGGGAGGGCCCAGAGUCCAACGGGGGGCAGCAGUGGGGAACAUUGCGCAAUGGGCGCACGCCUGAGGAAGCGACGCCGCGUGGGUGAUGACGGCCUUCGGGUUGUGAACCUCUUUCAGCAGGGACGACGCGCAAGUGACGGUACCUGCAGAAGAAGCACCGGCCAACUACGUG
RNAcentral lists this ribosomal RNA (463 nucleotides) under uncultured bacterium. RNAcentral describes it as "partial 16S ribosomal RNA". It matches the Rfam family "Bacterial small subunit ribosomal RNA", at positions 28 to 507 of the family's 1533-position model. The record is from RNAcentral.